GCUUGCUUCUCCGAUGGNUAGCGGCGGACGGGUGAGUAACACGUAGGCAACCUGCCCUCAAGCUUGGGACAACUACCGGAAACGGUAGCUAAUACCGAAUAGUUGUUUUCUUCUCCUGAAGAAAACUGGAAAGACGGAGCAAUCUGUCACUUGGGGAUGGGCCUGCGGCGCAUUAGCUAGUUGGUGGGGUAACGGCUCACCAAGGCGACGAUGCGUAGCCGACCUGAGAGGGUGAUCGGCCACACUGGGACUGAGACACGGCCCAGACUCCUACGGGAGGCAGCAGUAGGGAAUCUUCCGCAAUGGGCGAAAGCCUGACGGAGCAAUGCCGCGUGAGUGAUGAAGGUUUUCGGAUCGUAAAGCUCUGUUGCCAGGGAAGAACGCUUGGGAGAGUAACUGCUCUCAAGGUGACGGUCCCUGAGAAGAAAGCCCCGGCUAACUACGUGCCAGCAGCCGCGGUAAUACGUAGGGGGCAAGCGUUGUCCGGAAUUAUUGGGCGUAAAGCGCGCGCAGGCGGUCAUUUAAGUCUGGUGUUUAAUCCCGGGGCUCAACCCCGGAUCNCACUGGAUACUGGGUGACUUGAGUGCAGAAGAGGANAGUGGAAUUCCACNUGUAGCGGUGAAAUGCGUAGAUAUGUGGAGGAACACCASUGGCGAANGGCGANCUCUCUGGGCUGUAACUGACGCUGAGGCGCGAAAGCGUGGGGAGCAAACAGGAUUAGAUACCCCUGGUAGUCCACGCCGUAAACGAUGAGUGCUAGGUGUUAGGGGUUUCGAUACCCUUGGUGCCGAAGUUAACACAUUAAGCACUCCGCCUGGGGAGUACGGUCGCAAGACUGAANCUCAAAGGAAUUGACGGGGACCCGCACAAGCAGUGGAGUAUGUGGUUUAAUUCGAAGCAACGCGAAGAACCUUACCAGNUCUUGACAUCCCUCUGACCGGUACAGAGAUGUACCUUUCCUUCGGGACAGAGGAGACAGGUGGUGCAUGGUUGUCGUCAGCUCGUGUCGUGAGAUGUUGGGUUAAGUCCCGCAACGAGCGCAACCCUUGAUCUUAGUUGCCAGCACUUCGGGUGGGCACUCUAAGGUGACUGCCGGUGACAAACCGGAGGAAGGUGGGGAUGACGUCAAAUCAUCAUGCCCCUUAUGACCUGGGCUACACACGUACUACAAUGGCCGGUACAACGGGCAGUGAAACCGCGAGGUGGAACGAUUCCUAAAAAGCCGGUCUCAGUUCGGAUUGCAGGCUGCAACUCGCCUGCAUGAAGUCGGAAUUGCUAGUAAUCGCGGAUCAGCAUGCCGCGGUGAAUACGUUCCCGGGUCUUGUACACACC
Molecule: ribosomal RNA, 1332 nt
Filed under: Paenibacillus sp.
Lineage: Bacteria; Bacillati; Bacillota; Bacilli; Caryophanales; Paenibacillaceae
Description: bacterial SSU rRNA
Rfam family: Bacterial small subunit ribosomal RNA
Source: RNAcentral